This is a long non-coding RNA of Dreissena polymorpha, 2611 nucleotides long. RefSeq lists it as uncharacterized. The transcript is spliced from 4 exons. The record is from RefSeq and is a predicted model, not a curated record. NCBI's taxonomy places the organism in Eukaryota, Metazoa, Mollusca, Bivalvia, Myida, Dreissenidae.
GGCCUUUUCACAGACUUUGGUAUGUUUUGAAGUUUGUCAUUAAAUGCUUUAUAUUGAUAAAUAUAAACAUUGGUUCUAAAAUUCUCCAGUAAAAAUACAAGAAUACAAUUAAAGAAUUAAAAAAAGUAACCCUCCACGGUACUCGAACCACUGACCCUUGGAGCCAUGGAGCAAAAGUCUACUGCUCUAUCCACAAGACCAUCCACUCUUCUAUCACGAUCUUUGUAUUUUUUACCUCAUAUGUGCAAUACUCGUAGUUUCAAAAAUACAACGACAACAACAGAAUUCUCCAAAUUAUUCAAUCGUUUCGCGUUGCAACGCUUUAUAACUUUCAGGUUUUUAAAUCGUCAAAAGAUGCACAUAAUGGAUAUUUUAGAGCAUGGUAAAUGUUCAGUAUUACUGUUUCCUCACAAAUAUCAUAACUUCAAGAAAAAUUUGCGAAUCUGAUUUUUUUCUUCAAUAUUUUCAAUUUACCAAAGCGUGAAAAGGCCCCUUUAAAGUACAUCAUUCAAACAUACAGACAUUUGUUCAUGUGAUCGGAAGUUGUGAAUUUGUGUCAUCCGAUGUUGAAAAUAACAAAAAACAUGUUAACACUAACAUGUUCAACUAAGAGCUUCUAUUACAUAAUUAUUAUUGAUUUACACAGAUGAAAUUCUCUGAAAUCACAUGGUCUUAAAUGUAACACGUGGUUUAUAAUAUUUUAUUUAAUUCAUCUUCAAAGUUCGAAGUUUCAUUGUGGAAAUCUGGUCCUUUACAAGUUUAUAUAUAUAUUUUAAAAUCAUAUUACUUAGGUCAUAUCUUUCGACAUCGGGGCCAGAUAAUUUAUGUAGACUUUUCUAUUACAAUAACUUUAAUAAAUAGUUUUCUCUGAGGUCACAGUGUUCUUUUUGGAAUAUUACCGGGUACAUUGCAUAAUGGUCUUCUACAACUUUUUUCAAAGGGGGUCGCAUUUUGUUUAGUCGCCUUUUAAUACUUAUAUAUCGCGACAUGUGGCGUCGGGUUUAUUCUUUGUUACACUUUUGUAAAAAGAAAUAGUUUAUGUUACUUAAUCACCCAUAAAUUUAAGCACCACAUGUUCAAGCAUUGUGUUCAUACCGGGUCAUACUGACCUGUGUCAUUUACCGCCAAGAAUUAUGGGUAGUGUGAGGAACUUUUUUCAAUGUCCAUCCUUAAAUGUGACCAUGACUUCAAGUUUCGGUUUUUAACAUUACACCAUGAAAUAUUAAACAAUUAUAUAUUUGAAAUAAAUCAGUUGGUUGAGUGAAGGACUAGUCCCGGGGGUCGUGGGUUUCAGUUCUAUAACGACAGUAAGUAAGUGACCAGCACGUGUAUAAAUAGGCUGGGAUUAUUAACUUGGUGUAGUUGAAUCGCAAUCUAGAAAACAGUUGACAAAAUCAAGAUGUGAAUUCACAGUAUGUAUACAGUUUAUAUGCCAUAACAAUUUAACAAAUAUGUGAAUAUGGUUACUGCGUGUAAACUAAAGAGAUUAUUAAACACCGAGAGUAGACUGUUUACAGUCCUCCAUUAUCAUUUUAUCAUUUUUAUAGAGAUAACUCUCUCCUACUUCUUGCACUGUACUUAUACUAUACAGAGUUACGUUUUCUUAUCUGCUGCAGCCAGAAGAGAAAAGGAGCUUUGAUAUUGUAUUGCAAUACAUUUCAAGAAGUAAUUGUGAAAUUAGAAAAGAUUUUUUUUAUCAGUCUGUUGACAGACUACACCGAGAGGAAAACAUUUCCUAAGUUAAGAGAUUUUACAAGUAUUUAAUUAAAGGAAUUACAUUUACAAUUAAAAAUCCGAAUAAAAUCAUCAUCAUCAUAAUCAUAAUCAUAUUAAUCAUCAUCAUCAUCAUCAUCAUCAUCAUCAUCAUCAUCAUCAUCAUCAUCAUCAUCAUCAUCAUCAUCAUCAUCAUCAUCAUCUUGACCGGCCUUGUCGUUGGGGGAACUAAUGAGGGACGACGAAACAAAAAUCCUACACCAGUUAGGUCUGUUGUGGGCUGCUGAGAGAAAUUCAUCCAUACGGAGUUUUGUCCACGCCUUCCCGUUGUCCAUCCAGCUUUUCGUCUGACGGCCUCGACGGCGAUGCUCCCUAGCAUGACCUGAAGCACAGUUUUGAAGGCAAAAGAGUCUGCAAUAUUGCAAGCAAACAUUCAAAGUCACCAUUGGGACCAGUCAGACGCAUAAGGACACGUCUCUGAUUGAUGUGAUAUGAUGCUCUACUGUUUCACAUGAUGUUUGCGAACACGUACCUCUCUAACGACCGACAUCCGAAACAUAUUCGAGCAAACAGUGUACGACAGAAAACGGGUCAGACUGCAGUGUAACAAGCUGAUGAAGAGCUAACAUCUAACAGCCAACUUCACAUACCUGAUGCCUACGUUACAUCUGGCGACCUUCAACAUUGGCGCAAGAUUUAAAGUCUUGGGAACCGACAAAAUUGCACUGUUCUCGGUAGUUAUAAGUGAUAUUUUUAGAUAUUGAUGUUGGUUGCGCUUUUCUUAUUCAGCCGCAAAAUCGGCACUAUGUUAUCAUCACAAAAGAAUACUGAAAAGAAAUCUACUGUAAUGAAUACAUAUUUUUUAUUCCCAACCUACAUUUACAGUGAUUUUCCUUGA